UUUCCCUUUGAUAGGAGAGCACGUGCGGCCUCUCGUGCGCUGAACCGACGGGACGCCAUUUUGAAAAACAUGCAUGAAAAUGGCUGCCGACUGUUUGUGCUUGAAGACAUUUGCAAGACUCUUUCAGCUUCUUCGAGUUUUCAAGAAGAACAAUAACUGGAUCAAGGCGGGAGUCCGAGAAAUGACAGUUUUCACCAUCAUUUUCUUGACUUUGUACACAACCGUGUAACCGUGCAUCAGGUUGCAGCUCAGGAUGCCUGUGAGGGCCAGGGAUGAGGCACCAUCCUGAGGUCAUAAUUACAUCUUUUCUGGCUUUCAGGAUGACUAAAAGCUCCAAAUUGCUGUCUGCAUUUUGCCUAUACUGAUAGCUCACCCAACGUUCCAUGGUUUUGGACCUCCAACUACAGAAAGCAACACUGUAGCAGGUGAGUUUGUAAUGCUUUGGUCAGUGUUAUACCUAUCCACAUUCCAUCAAAGCUAGACUUGGUCCCA
Long non-coding RNA from Patiria miniata (bat star), 492 nucleotides. RefSeq lists it as uncharacterized. NCBI's taxonomy places the organism in Eukaryota, Metazoa, Echinodermata, Asteroidea, Valvatida, Asterinidae. The transcript has 3 exons. The record is from RefSeq and is a predicted model, not a curated record.